This is a long non-coding RNA of Homo sapiens (human), 2246 nucleotides long. Ensembl annotates it as small nucleolar RNA host gene 17. Its record names the gene SNHG17. Lineage: Eukaryota; Metazoa; Chordata; Mammalia; Primates; Hominidae. The record is from Ensembl.
CAAAGGAAAAACGGCAGCCUGGGCAACCCCGCCUCUAUAAGAACUAAAAAAUUAGCCAGGCAUGGCGGUGCAUGCCCCUGUAGUCCUAGCUUCUCAGGAGGCUGAGGCAGGAGGCUCUCUUGAGCCCGGGAGGACAAGGCUGCAGUGAGCCAUGACCAUGCCACUGCACUCAGCCUGGGCAACAGAGUGAGACCCUGUCUCAAGAAAGAAAAACGAGAAAGGGAGAGUCCCUCCACUGUAAGGAGAUCGGGUUCAUUACAUUUUGGGGUGUUGGAGAAAAAUACUGAGUCAGCACCUGUGUGGGAUUGGUGGGAGCAGAUUUGGUGUUUUCCACCCCUUCACAGGAUUCUGAGGUAACUCAUUUCUGUUGGCCUUGGCCUUGUAUGGGGAGGAUUUCCCUCCAGCCUUGUAUGGGGAGGAUUUCCCUUGUAUGGGGAGGAUUUUCCCUCCAGCUUGUGGGAAAGGAAUCAAGGACCAGAGACAGGCAGGGGAGAAGAUCACUGAGGGAUUUACGGCAGCAGCCUCUGCACGGCUUCCCCACGACCUCCCCAGCUGCUUGCUGGACGCUGCUGGAGAAACAGCACAUCCCAAGAUCAUCAUGGCCCCAGCAUCCUCUUGAACUUAGUAACAGUUGGCCUGACAGAUGAAGCGGAUAUCAUCCCUGCCUUAGAAGUUCUCUAGCCCCUUUCUUAGAGAUAAGCUGCUAUUUCAUUCCUAAAAGAAGUCAUGGCUGUUCAGGUGAGAAGAACGGUUUAGUCAGCAUCUAUGCAACACUGUAGAGAUGCUUAGUGAGAGGUGUUGCAGGAGAGUGGCAGACCGCAGGGCCCGAGGUAAGGUUUCUUGUCCAUCUCUGGAAUUUUGGCUUUUUGCACCCUGUAAAGUCACGUCCCCUUUUUUUCUGGUGCUUUGGUGGUGACGUAGGGAGAGGUGAGGAUGAGAAGAGGAGCCAUGUCCUAUGGAUUCCCAGAUCCAGACUCCUCUUCCCUGGGAAAGCUGGAUUGGAGCUGGCCCCUCCUUCUGUGCCUUCAGGGGCUGUGGAGGAGGAGGCCCCUGCAGGGAGCUGCCUGGGGCGAGCGCUGGGGGCUUUUCCUGCAGUGCAUUAGCAGCAUGUCAUAAUGGAAAGUGGCUGGAUUUCUUUCCAGUUGUAAUCAAUGGUUAAGAUUUAACCUAGCAACAUUGUAGGGGUACACAGCCAAAUGAUUCAGGAAAAAAGAUGCAGGUUGAGUCUGGAGGAAUCCCUGUGCCAGCUUCCUCAUGCUCCCUCCCUCUCUCAGAAAUCACAUGGAACCCAUUCUCCCCUCAGCAGUGAAAAUGCAUUCAGCCUGUGUGCAGUGUUUCUGCCCAGGGAAGCCCAGUAGGGCCUCCAUGCCCGGGGUGUUUACUGGGAUCUGGUUAUGUAGACACCACCUGCCUAGCACGCACCAAAAUUCCAGACUUUCAGGAAAACAGGUGCCUGUGCCACAUUAUUUGCACGGAGAGACUGUGUCCAGUGAACGGUUCUGAUCAGUAAACUGUUGACUAGGAACAUCCCGAGAGCCAAGUUCCCAGAUGCCAGCCAAGGGCCAUCUGACCUGUUUUGAAUCUCAAUUUCCUGAUACAGAAAACAAAGGAUUGUCAGCUGACCUCUGUCCUGUGUGCCCAGUGGCCCCAGGUGACGUGUCUUCAAGAAGAGGCUGAGCUGCGGUGCUUGUAAGAGUCAUGUGCUGUUCCUGGGGCUUGGAUGAUGUAGGGGAAGCAAGGUGAAAGUGGUAUCCCGUGGUUCCACGUUCUGUCCUGCUGUGGGGCUGUCCCUCACAUGCUUUCAGUGGCUGUUGCAGAGGAAGAGCCUCCGGAAAUCUGCGUGGGUCUCAGCCUUAGAUCCAAGGACAGUCCAAGGAAGUCCUAAGACCAUGGAGUUGGUGAUCUGGGAUCUGGGUUUGCUGAUAUUUCUCACCGUGAAUCUCUUGGUGGUGUUUGUGGGCACGAGAGGGGCAGAGAAUGGAGAGUGAGGCUACCACAUGAAGCGUCACCAGAGCUGCUCCCUGCUGCCUGCUCAGAGCACCCCGGAUCCACUGUUCAAUCUGCACAAGAUUCGGGGUCCAGACAUGGGAGACUUCAGCUGCCUCAGAGGACCGUGGACAGGGAAGGCCAGCCUCGCAUCCCUCUGUCCAUGCCUGGAAUGACUUUAAUAACCAAGAGUUUUAUUUUUGAAUUUGUAGCUGUCGUUCACUUUUUACCCACCCAUUCAAUAAACCUUACAGAAUUGC